GCAUCGUAGCACACUGUAGUAGGCUUGAUCAAUAUCAAAAUAAAAUUUCAAUAAAUUAGGUCUCUACUGGAUUACUGUGGUGCAAAAUGACAUGCAGUUAAUGAAAAUUGAUGCUGCGGGACAGGCUGUUUUGCCAUCAAUUAUCUAUGGAGUUCAGGUCAGGCGAUUUGGAUGGCCAACUAAGCAUAGUAACAUCGUGGUCAGCAAACCAGUUACUCGUGCUUUUGACCCUGUGGGCAGGUGCCAAGUCCUGCUGGAAAAGGAAACCAGCAUCUCCAUAAAGCUUGUCAGCAGAUUGAAGCAUGAAGUGCUCAAAAAUCUCCUGGUAGACGCUGCAUUGAUUCAGGACUGGAGACAACAAAGUGGACCAACAUGGCCCCCCAAAACAUCACAGACUGUGGAAACUUCACACUGAACUUCUAACAACGGUCCAGUUCAUUUUCUCCUUUGCCCCUAGUGCAACGCUGGUAGCUCAUUUCCUGGACAUGUUGAUGCUGCUACUCUACUUUUAUUUAUUUAUUUUUUUACAGUAUACAGAUUUUCUGAGAUGGACCUGUAUAUGUUCUUGUUCAUGUAUCAUCAUGGAUAAGACACGUGCCUUUGUCUUAGAGGCCCGGGUUCAAGUCCCCACUGUGACACAUCCACCAAUGUGUCCCUGAGCAAGACACUUAACACCUAGUUCCUCCAGAGGUGUGCGACCUCUGACAUACUAUAUAGCAAUUGUAAGUCACUUUGGAUAAAAGCAUCAGCUAAAUGAGUAAACAUAAUAUCACUUACUACUGUACUUGACAUACUUAACAUUUAUAUAUCCAUGUAAUCACAGCACU
This is a long non-coding RNA of Micropterus salmoides (largemouth bass), 827 nucleotides long. RefSeq lists it as uncharacterized. The record is from RefSeq and is a predicted model, not a curated record. Lineage: Eukaryota; Metazoa; Chordata; Actinopteri; Centrarchiformes; Centrarchidae. The transcript has 2 exons.